Molecule: ribosomal RNA, 253 nt
Filed under: uncultured bacterium
Lineage: Bacteria
Description: partial 16S ribosomal RNA
Rfam family: Bacterial small subunit ribosomal RNA
Source: RNAcentral
UACGUAGGGUGCGAGCGUUAAUCGGAAUUACUGGGCGUAAAGCGUGCGCAGGUGGCGUCGCAAGUCAGGCGUGAAAUCCCCGGGCUCAACCUGGGAAUGGCACUUGAAACUACGAUGCUGGAGUGCGGCAGAGGGAGGUGGAAUUCCACGUGUAGCGGUGAAAUGCGUAGAUAUGUGGAGGAACACCGAUGGCGAAGGCAGCCUCCUGGGUCGACACUGACGCUCAUGCACGAAAGCGUGGGGAGCAAACAGG